CUGGCUGCACUUCAUUGAAGUUAAAGAUUGAGGAUCUAUGCUAUGGCUGCAAUUCAGUUGGAUUAUCCUAAAUUUUCUCUAUACCCAAAUGAUGCGAUUAAUUAUUAUUCAAUCUGUUCAAUUUAUUUAUUUAUUUAUUUGAUCUGAAGUAGCAGAGCUAUCCUGUUUUAUUUAAAAAAAAGAAAAGAUCAGAAUUUAAAGAGACUGUUUUAUAAAGCAACAAGCUCUGCUUAGAGCCCACAUAAACAAUCAGCAAUAGGCUUCAUACAGAAAAGAAAUAGGG
This 283-nucleotide long non-coding RNA is filed under the name Elaeis guineensis (African oil palm). Its description in RNAcentral is "long non-coding RNA (EGUI_LNC026269)". The record is from RNAcentral. Lineage: Eukaryota; Viridiplantae; Streptophyta; Magnoliopsida; Arecales; Arecaceae.